This 3776-nucleotide long non-coding RNA is filed under the name Patiria miniata (bat star). Its description in RNAcentral is "uncharacterized LOC119726292". The record is from RNAcentral. Lineage: Eukaryota; Metazoa; Echinodermata; Asteroidea; Valvatida; Asterinidae.
CCAUGUGCUUUUUCGCAUUGGUGUUGCCGAUCGGCUGUAAAAUAGCGGGAACAAAAUCAAGUAAGUUUACCGCUAUUUCUCCUUAAAACACAUUACACCUUCAAAAUUUUGUAGACUCAUGGAGCUAAGAAACUGAAUGACUUACUCUUAUUAAUGGGCUUAUGUACUAAUUCUGAAUUUGUGCAGUUGAGAAAUGUUCGAAGGUUUGAUUUUUAUUUUUCAGUCGAAUGUGAAGUCCUCCAUCAAGAAAGACAUUAUGUAAAUUUUUAACCUAGUUUCCAGAAAAGAAUGUGUUUUCCAGUGACCUUUUUGGGAUAGUUUUGAAUUUGAAAUACAUUUUUUGUUUUGUUAAAAGUUUCAAGCAACUCAAGAAAAAUUAUAAACAUUUCUACUCUGGCCUCAACGUAUGCGCAGAGACUGUUCUUCUUUAUGGCUUCGUGGAAGGUUACUAGCUGUGAGAAGGUACUUUCCACAAUCACUGGUUCGCGUCGUCCGAUGCUUAUGAAAUCAGAGUCGGAGACACGGGACCAGGGAUAUACCAGACGAACUCGCAAACGGUUCAUUUGAAGCACAUGUUGUAAAUUGGCGGCAAACUCGGCAUUGCGCAUUCUAACUUAAUUGCAAAGAUUAUCUGGGAGGUGACGGACAGAACAGUGAAAAUAUGUAUACAAAAAACAAAGUGAGCAAAUGAGGCGGCAGAAACAAAACGACUAUUCUAGGAGGAGGAGGGAAGUAAACUUCAUCCUGGCAAAGAGAGAAGAGAAGAGGGCAGAGAGGAGGAGACAAAGAUCGGAGGUGGAAGAGAUGUGUAAAUUAAGGUAAGAUUAAAGCAUCAAAAUAUGAAAAUAUAUUGCUACGAAACAAGUGUCAUGUGCUCUGCGAUCUUGUCAAAAAGAACCUUAGUUUUACUGUAAAGUGUCUAUCAGCAGAAAUUGUGCUAUGAUUUUUGUUUUGUAAUAUUUUAUUUUUGUUGCCAUGUUGACCUUAAAUGAAUCAUUUUUAUUCAGGCCUCCCUACCAAUGGCAUAACUGCAUUGGCGAAAAUUCCCCCCCCCCCUUUCCAUUUUUACUAUAUAUUUUACUAUACUAUUUCAUUAUAAGGAAUAAUUUAAUAUAAUAUGCCUAAUUUGCGUAAAUCUUUAAUAACUGCCGUGUAAUAUAUUUGUUCCCAUAUUUGGGUAUAUUGUUCAUUAAUAUAUUUUUUGAAAAGUUUAUUUUUGUGAUUAUACUUACACUUCCUUACUUCAAAUAUUUUCUAAAGCAUAUAAGUGACUGAAUAAUUAUGAGGACAUAAAAACAAUCCAAAAUGCCUACUAUUAUACCCUAAGGUUGCUCACAUAUACUUUGCAUCAGAUGUCAUCAAGUAGUCUCGCCAAACGUCAGUUUUGAUGAGCUCCAAAUUUACAAAGUCACUUUCUGGCACAGUUACCCUAACAAAGUUAAUUGGGAUAUUAUGUGGCAAAUGAUAAAAUCUUGAUAUUUAGGCCAAUAAUGAAAACAGGGGAGGUGUCCGUAAAUUGGGCUAAAAUUAGGGUUGCCUAACGUGGGGGACUUAAACAACUUCAAGGAAAUCCCCCCAAAUCAAAUAUUAUUGUUACAUGUACAUUAAUUAUGUCAAUGUUGAAAUGUUUUCUUAUCAAUAAUUUUGGGAAUUUUCCUGAACGUGCUCAAGCCUCCCAUGUUAUGCAACCCUUCAACCACCUUUUUGCCCAAUUAAUGGACACCUCAUUUCCCCCCUUUUAUAUCACACUGUUAUCUUUGUUCACAUGAUUUUCCAUAAGGUUUUUAUGGGUUAACCAUUUUAGAUUAUUACUAUAGCCGUGUCUGCACUGGACUUUUUUUGGAAGGUUUUACCGAGACGAUGGUAAAAUGAGAAAUGGUCAAAUGUGACCACUGUCCACACUUGGACUUUUGCACAGGAAAUUUUACCCAGACCGUGUUGGAGAACAUGGAGAAAUAACUGAGCUGUCAGUUCUGGUAUAAUGACUCACCGUAUGUGGAAAACGAGAUGCUGGUCAAAUUUUCAGCCGCCGAUACGCACAGUAAUUACAAACGCCAUUUGCAAUCGUUCUUGGUGAUGAACAUAAAGAAUUACUGAAUAACAUACACUUACAAUGUAGUCUUUUUGUAGUCUUUAUGUAGUUUGUUUGCUUUUAUCCAGUCUGAUAUCAGAACAAGGUCAGUAUUAACAAUGUAAAUCAAAUUAUUAAUAUUUUUGUUACUAUAGAAUAAAUUUGAAUUGAUCGGCGAAUAAGAUACAUGACAAACGUUAUGAGACAUUAACUAGGUCAUUUAUAUAAACAAGAAAUAGUAGUGGUUUAAGAAUAGAUCCUUGAGGAACCCCACAUGUCAAGGAACAUAUAUUAGGAGUGUCGUAAACUAAUACAUAUUGCUCUCUGUUAGAGAGAUAAGUUUGAAACCAAGCAAGAAGGACUCAUGAUGCCAUAGUAAUUAAGCUUGUAUAACAAUACAUUAUGAUCUAAGGUGUCAAACGCUUUUGAAAAAUCAAGAAAAAUACCAAGGGUGUGUUCUGAAUUGUCUAAACCUGCUACAACCUUAUUAAUGAGAUGAAGAACAGCAAGAUUAGUUGAAUGUUUUGCACGAAACCCAAACUGGAAGUUUGAUAUAUCGUAUUUACGUAAGAAAUCAAGAGUACGUACAUACAUUGUAAACAAUUCUUUCAAAAAUUUUCGAAAAACUAUUUCGAAUCUAUCAGUCAGAAGCUGUUUUACCUGGUAGUAUGGAACAAUGGGAUCCUUUGACUGGUUCUCAGGUAUGCCCCUUAAUUGCAAGUUGAAGUUGCGGGAAUAACGCUCCUGCUGAAGAAUAGCUUCUUUGAGGGUGGUGAUGUUCUUUUGUGCCGUCUCCAGCUGAACAGACAUUCUGGACAUUCCUUCCGUCAGCACCGUGUUUUGGGACUGAAGUUCCUCAAUUAAAAGCCCAAUGACUCCUCCAUAUCUCUCUGCUUUCUUUCGACAUCUGCCACUCUCCCAGGUAGGGAUUCUUGAUUCAGGAGGGCUUUGUCGAGCUUGGCAUUUAUGUCGGCAGCUAGAUUGCGAAUUUCCCGCCUCAGAUUGCCGAUGGCGUCGCCUUCUUCUGUGAUAGUGCCAGGCUAUCGGUCAGUGGCGUCAUCUGGCGGGUUGACCGAGUCGUCUGAUCCAGUCGAGAAUGACUGAGUUUUUUCCUUUCUCUGCAUAAUCACAGGUACACUGUAGAUAAUUACUAUCAAGAGACUCGAUAUAAAGCCAGUGGCACAAGAAUACUGAAAUCUUAGAUUUUCAUGAGAUUUAUGGAGAAUUUACCAGUCAAUUGUGACGGUCCCUGGAGCAUCGAUUUGACACGUCCGUCUACAUGACUAGCGCCCUCUAGAAUAGCAUCCUAUCAAUAUUGUGCAUAUCUUCCCGAGAAUCUUUUGUUGUUGUGUAAUAGUCACUAUCAGCAUUGCAGUAGCCUUACCUUCCUCCUCCCCGGCCCCCAGGCCUCCCAGCUGGCGGCCCUUUGCUUCUCUUGCUGAAAAAAGCAAAUUCAUGUGAUUUACGCGUCAAGUACAAAUGUCAAAUCUCCUACCAGUAGUGUGGAUUUCUUCCAGAGAACCUUUUUGUGUUAGUAUAAUAGUUAUUAUCAGCAUUGCAGUAGCUUUAAUACCUUCCUCCUCCCUGGCCCCCAGGCCUUCCAGCCGGCGGCCCUUUGCUUUUCCUGCUGAAAAACUGCUGAAAAAGGCAACUUCACAUGAUCUACGUGUAUAGUAGAAAUGUCAAAUGUCCUACCAGUAUUGUG